GAUGAACGCUGGCGGCGUGCCUAAUACAUGCAAGUCGAGCGAACAGACGAGGAGCUUGCUCCUCUGACGUUAGCGGCGGACGGGUGAGUAACACGUGGAUAACCUACCUAUAAGACUGGGAUAACUUCGGGAAACCGGAGCUAAUACCGGAUAAUAUAUUGAACCGCAUGGUUCAAUAGUGAAAGACGGUUUUGCUGUCACUUAUAGAUGGAUCCGCGUCGCAUUAGCUAGUUGGUAAGGUAACGGCUUACCAAGGCAACGAUGCGUAGCCGACCUGAGAGGGUGAUCGGCCACACUGGAACUGAGACACGGUCCAGACUCCUACGGGAGGCAGCAGUAGGGAAUCUUCCGCAAUGGGCGAAAGCCUGACGGAGCAACGCCGCGUGAGUGAUGAAGGUCUUCGGAUCGUAAAACUCUGUUAGUAGGGAAGAACAAAUGUGUAAGUAACUAUGCACGUCUUGACGGUACCUAAUCAGAAAGCCACGGCUAACUACGUG
RNAcentral lists this ribosomal RNA (497 nucleotides) under uncultured bacterium. Its description in RNAcentral is "partial 16S ribosomal RNA". It matches the Rfam family "Bacterial small subunit ribosomal RNA", at positions 28 to 507 of the family's 1533-position model. The record is from RNAcentral.